Molecule: long non-coding RNA, 559 nt
Filed under: Ananas comosus (pineapple)
Lineage: Eukaryota; Viridiplantae; Streptophyta; Magnoliopsida; Poales; Bromeliaceae
Description: long non-coding RNA (ACOM_LNC006490)
Source: RNAcentral
AAACUUGUGGAACUUGAUGACUGAUAUUUGAGAUUUUAAGUUGAAAAUAUAGUUGUUAUAUAUUUAUAGUUGAAUUUUAUUUAAAAAAAUAAAAAAGAAUGAAUGGGCAUCUUGAUACUUACCUUUAUUUACAAAUAUAAUUUUUAAUAUAUAUAUAUAUAUAUGGGAAAAUUUUAAAAAAUUCUCCUGUUUCGUAGUUUCUCAAUUUAGUACCCUAUAAUUUAAAGUGCAUCAAUUUGCCCUCCUGUGGUUUCGUUUUUAUUUUUUCGGUAGCUUUUUCGUUAAUAUUUCAUUAAAUUAUAUACAAAAAACUUCAGAUACCCAUCUAUAUUUAUCAAAUAUUUAUUUUAGUACCUUUUAAUUUUAACUUUAUUACUGAUUUAAGAAAAAAAAUAAUAAAAUUGAUAAGAAAAAGAGAAAAAAGAAACCAUAGGGGGACAAAUUGAUAUAUUUUAANUAUAAAAUAAAUAUUUUAAAACUUCUAUCAAAUUAUUUUUAAUUAUUUAUUUAUUAUUAUUAUGCAUUUUAUUACUCUUUUUUCUUCCAAUAAAAUUUCUAU